AGGACGAACGCUGGCGGCGUGCUUAACACAUGCAAGUCGAGCGGUAAGGCCCUUUCGGGGGUACACGAGCGGCGAACGGGUGAGUAACACGU
RNAcentral lists this ribosomal RNA (92 nucleotides) under uncultured soil bacterium. RNAcentral describes it as "partial 16S ribosomal RNA". It matches the Rfam family "Bacterial small subunit ribosomal RNA", at positions 26 to 118 of the family's 1533-position model. The record is from RNAcentral.